UCUGGAAACCCCACCCCCGCAUAACCUAACAGAGGAACGGUCAUCUGGCUGUAGGCAGCCGGGUAAGAGAGUGCUUUUCCCGGCUUGUGUUUCAUCAGUUUUAGGACCGUGUGCUUGAUAUUUAUGCUCCAUUGUCGAACUUUAAGAAAUAUAUUGGACAUUAUAUUUUGAGGUUAUGUGUAACAUACCAAAAUGAUUUAAAUGUUUAAUAAACUGUUGGUAUUUUAACAGUUUUUAAUAAUAUAGCAAUACACACGUUAGGAAAAUUCUAGUAGCAUUUGUGUUAAUCAACAAAUGCUUAUUUAUUAUAACGACUUUCCCAAAGUUUGCACUGUUAUCUGACCUUAAAUCGACCGGAUGGAAUAUAUUACAGGAUGUUUUAUUUCUCCAAGCAAUAUUCAGAACAACGUUGGUUGCACAGUGUGGGAUGCUCGCCUAAAAGCAGAGUGCAUUUGAAGGCGAAAAGGAAGGAAGCUUUCAGCGAGAGAAUUUGUACGGUUUACGGAUUGCCUACUGGAAUAACGAGGUACUACUAUCAGACAUAGUGUGUCAAAACAACACGCAGAUCUUUUUUUUUUUUUCUUUCUUUUUUUUUUUUUUUUCUCCAAUAGGCUAUAUGCGUGCAACAAAAUCGAGGGAUUGUGUAUUUAUGUAGCCAAUAAUGCAAGACUCAUCUGACCUCUAUCCUCAUUUUCACAGAACUGUUCAAGAUUAGUUCACGUUAAAUCGGCCGACAGGGUACAGCAGAGUAACAAUCUGAGCUUUAAAGCUCCAUAAGCAGUCGUGUACCUUUAAGAGGCUCGUCAACAGAUCCUUGAUUAAGUGGGACUCCGUUUGUUAAAGAGCGCUUGGCGCCAGCCGGCUGGAGUCCCACAAUAAGAACCUACCCCUGUCAAUUCAUAUUUACCCCCAAAUUCUCAAACAGCGUGCACCAAUCCACUCAAUGUUCCACAAAGCUUAGCCUACAUCUUGAGAAAAAUGCAAAGAAAUGUUUUCUUCGUGCCAGCUCCUGCUUUCAACAAUUAGGUUAAUUAGAUCUAGUGAAAGUCCACGGAUGGAAGAUUUAUAUCCUGUGUUUGAAUCGAUGUCUGAUCAGUUCUGGCUAGGCCAUACUUUGACAAAUGUAGAAUGAGAAAAAAGAAGAAGAAGAAUGAAUGACAUUAAUUCCACACAUAAUUUGUUCAAAGAUCUGGAAAGCAGUACUGCACUGUCAACAGGAAAUGUAUUUUAUUUGUUCCUUUCAAUUAACUCCUUUCAUUCUCCAAAAAUGCUCACUGUAAACAUCAGAAAUGACUUCCUACUGAAGAUCUCAAAACAGCAGGACUGUCCUGAGAGGGAGACACAGGUUGCUUCCGACUUAAUACUGUCAGAGAUGAAGCCGCUCUGCGAGCUUGAAGUUAUGACCGAUGCUAGGAUUUUGAGUUACGGGUCCAGGAUUUUCAGCCAAGGGUUCAUGGAAAAUAUCGCAGAACAACAGAAGAAGGACAUUUUUAUUUUUAUUUUUUAUUUUUUUUGGAUCAUCCUGUAUCGACAUGCAUGUUUCGUCUUUGGAAGGUAGAUGUCCUGGAAUACGAUGGAGAACCCCUGCUCUGUGACAAAUGACAGGAUAAGAGGAUGGUGGACUGGGAUGAGAGGAAGUAUAAAUAUAGGGAACAUGCAGACUCUGGAAGCAUCAUGUCCCACCAUUGGGCAGAACUUCACAGACUCAAAAAUAUUCCAGAGACACCAGAAAUUUGGAUGCUGUUGAGGCACGUUGUGUGUGUAUAAAUGUAUAGAUAUAUAUGAAUUUGUCUAUGUAUGUGUGUGUGUUCGUACUGUAGACAUCUGGGGCGGCAAUCAGUGGGCUGCUCUCAAGGGCUGCCAAGGCAAACAAGGCAAUAACAAAUCCACUUUGCAGAUCAUCGAUCUGCCACUGCCCUGGCCAAGGUAAACACUCCCGGCUUGAAGUUUGCUUUUCAAAGAAGGGCUAAGGGAUCGAGGGGAGGCCACUUCCCCUGCUCGGGCUAGUUCUUUUAGCUUUCUUCUCUCCUCAACACGUGCAGAUAGAUACAUUCACAAAUGCCAAGAAAGGGUGCACAGAAAGCAAUAUAAAAAGAACUUGUUGCGACUUGUUUGAUACUGUCAUUAAAGGUGCUACCUGUCUAUUAUUAUUGUUUUUAAUUAUAGUGUGUUUGUGUGUAACCAGGUCAUUGUAGAAUGUCUAGUUAUUCUGAGCAACUGUAUGUGCUGUUUGUAGGCAGUCAGACAUACAGUGGUCCUAAAGCACUAACAGAGGGAAUUAUAGGCGAGGGGCAGCAGAUGGUAUGAAGGGUGAUGGGUCAGCAUGACAGACAGGGCAACAUUGAUUUUUGGGGACAGUGGAUUAAGCGAGGGACAAAAUUAGAGUUUAAUUAUGUGUCUGGAGAAGAACACAAUAUAGCAACAGAACAACUGCCAUCUCUGAUCAGAGGUGCUACAUGCUCAAUAAGAACCUCAGCUAAAGCUAAACUACAGAUUUAUCACAAGAUAAGGUUUUGGGACAGUGCCAUGGUACAUUUGUGGUAUCAGACCAGUUUAUAUGUUGAACCAGGCUGGUGGUUAGUGCUGAUUUGGAGCUAGUCUAGCUGGUGACCAGAAUGGCAUUGCAAAACUUGUGGAAACUGGUGGAACUUGCUGAAGCUGGUUGACCAUCAAGAUCUUUCUGCUCAGACCGUUUGGUCUUGCUUGUUCAGCCAGUUUAGAACCUUUUUGGGGACAUCAGCAAACUAGCAUCCCACUCUGGGGCACCAGCGAGCAAAGCAUGACAUUUGUUGGAGACAAGAUAUGUUACGUUACUUUGAAAUAAACCAGUGAAUGCUAACCAUAUUCUUCUUUUGUUAUGAACCCAGUAUGGGUUAUAUUUGUGGGUUGCUUGUUUGUUUUUUCCCUUUGUUUGUUUUGCAGGAUGGUGUUAGGGUGAGUGACAUCAUUACGUCAUUAUGGCUAAGGACCUGUGUUGGAGCUGAUGCCGGCAAAUGCUUCCCUUCAGUUGUGAUGGCGCUCACUCUCCUCUCCUCGUAUCAUUCUUGUUCUCUUUUCAGUUGUUUGUUUUGUUUUCGUUUAGUCAUUUUUCUUAUUUUAUUCUUACUUUAAUAAAUGUUAUUCCUUUUUUGAUUAUGA
This is a long non-coding RNA of Ctenopharyngodon idella (grass carp), 3138 nucleotides long. RefSeq lists it as uncharacterized. The transcript has 2 exons. The record is from RefSeq and is a predicted model, not a curated record. NCBI's taxonomy places the organism in Eukaryota, Metazoa, Chordata, Actinopteri, Cypriniformes, Xenocyprididae.